RNAcentral lists this ribosomal RNA (273 nucleotides) under uncultured prokaryote. Its description in RNAcentral is "partial 16S ribosomal RNA". It matches the Rfam family "Bacterial small subunit ribosomal RNA", at positions 524 to 796 of the family's 1533-position model. The record is from RNAcentral.
UACGAAGGGUGCAAGCGUUACUCGGAAUUACUGGGCGUAAAGCGUGCGUAGGUGGUUUGUUAAGUCUGAUGUGAAAGCCCUGGGCUCAACCUGGGAAUGGCAUUGGAUACUGGCAGGCUAGAGUGCGGUAGAGGGUAGUGGAAUUCCCGGUGUAGCAGUGAAAUGCGUAGAGAUCGGGAGGAACAUCUGUGGCGAAGGCGACUACCUGGACCAGCACUGACACUGAGGCACGAAAGCGUGGGGAGCAAACAGGAUUAGAAACCCCAGUAGUCC